GUGCUAAGGAAACAGGAGCCGUGCGUGCUUCUGCGGUGCGACAACGACGAUGAGGAGUGGAGCGGGAAUCUAGCCUUAACUUCAGCAACGCCUCCCUACCUCCGUGCGUACGUAGCACUGGAUCCGUCUGCUCGGUGGUCCUCCCCUAGGCACGGCCUACCGACGCCUGCGCGGAGAGGGAACUAGGGGAAAGUAGAGCUACCGCCCUGUCGUUCCGUGCCGCCACCGGCCACCACCUGCUCUGUAAGUCGGAAAAGUCGAUACGUCAGCUGGUAGUUCAUAACUGACAGUAUUGAAGUCCAAUGAAACUAUUUGACUAAAGACGUGUUACCAUGACUACACGUCACAUGAGCUGCAUCUCACCACAAAAGUAUAACGACCGUAUCCUCAUGAUAGUUACGCUCGAAGUCAAUGUUACCGUUGUAUACUGGCUUACAGGUACAUAGCUUUACAUACAAUAUCGACUAUAAUUCUCGUUGACAGGUUAUAAUAAACAACAUAUAAGACUAGAUACUAGUUUUAAACAUAACACCCGUUGUUGUGCUGUUGCGAUGACCAACCCGACUUCCUUGACCGUUUCAACAAAUUACCACUAUAGUAACACCUCAACCUGACGAACAGCGACCACGUCCGUGAACUUGGAGUUUGCCAAUUGUUCAGGUCCGACAAGAGACAAUGAACACUGUAGUUCCUCCGAAACUUCGUGAAGUUUAGGGUGGUCUAAUUAACCCAGACAUCCCUGGUUUCGUUCAAACGAGUGACAGAACGGCUAACCCGGUCAUCUAUUCCACAAGUCUCUCGAAAAGGUUCGACUUACAUUAGGCCCACAUACUAGUAACAAGAGUUUAUAAUAAAACACAAUACCCGUCUACCUUGAUUACCAUAUAAAGUG
RNAcentral lists this ribosomal RNA (892 nucleotides) under Triticum aestivum (bread wheat). Its description in RNAcentral is "partial small subunit ribosomal RNA". The record is from RNAcentral. Lineage: Eukaryota; Viridiplantae; Streptophyta; Magnoliopsida; Poales; Poaceae.